Molecule: ribosomal RNA, 300 nt
Filed under: Triticum aestivum (bread wheat)
Lineage: Eukaryota; Viridiplantae; Streptophyta; Magnoliopsida; Poales; Poaceae
Description: partial small subunit ribosomal RNA
Source: RNAcentral
CGGCCCCAACACAAUGAAGAGCAACGAUAUGGCAAGCUAAAGUUCACCAUGCCCAAGUUUACCGGAAGCAAUGACCCCGAAGAGUACAUAUCAUGGGCAUUGAAGGUUGACAAAAUCUUCCGCUUGCACAACUACGAAGAAGAGAAGAAGAUCGCAAUGGCAUCCCUCGAAUUCCAAGACUACGUCCUCAUUUGGUGGGAACAAGUCAUUGAGCGCCAUGCGGCAAGAGGUGAACCACCCAUCACCACUUGGGCACAAAUGAAGGAUGUCAUGAGAGCACGAUUCGUGCCAAACUACUAC